GAUGGCUCAGUUGGUUGAGCAUCUGACUUGGGCUCAGGUCAUGAUCUCACAGUUUGUGGGUUCGAGCCCCACAUCA
This 76-nucleotide transfer RNA is filed under the name Felis catus (domestic cat). It matches the Rfam family "tRNA", at positions 8 to 63 of the family's 71-position model. Rfam says of the family: Transfer RNA (tRNA) molecules are approximately 80 nucleotides in length. Their secondary structure includes four short double-helical elements and three loops (D, anti-codon, and T loops). Further hydrogen bonds mediate the characteristic L-shaped molecular structure. tRNAs have two regions of fundamental functional importance: the anti-codon, which is responsible for specific mRNA codon recognition, and the 3' end, to which the tRNAs corresponding amino acid is attached (by aminoacyl-tRNA synthetases). tRNAs cope with the degeneracy of the genetic code in two manners: having more than one tRNA (with a specific anti-codon) for a particular amino acid; and 'wobble' base-pairing, i.e. permitting non-standard base-pairing at the 3rd anti-codon position. The record is from Rfam by way of RNAcentral. RNAcentral also lists the same sequence under 6 other names. Lineage: Eukaryota; Metazoa; Chordata; Mammalia; Carnivora; Felidae.